Molecule: ribosomal RNA, 460 nt
Filed under: uncultured bacterium
Lineage: Bacteria
Description: partial 16S ribosomal RNA
Rfam family: Bacterial small subunit ribosomal RNA
Source: RNAcentral
CCUACGGGUGGCAGCAGUGAGGAAUAUUGGUCAAUGGACGCGAGCCUGAACCAGCCAAGUAGCGUGAAGGAUGACUGCCCUCCGGUUUGUAACCUUCUUUUAUAAGGGAAUAAAGUGAGGCACGUGUGCCUUUUUGUAUGUCCUUUAUGAAUAAGCAUCGGCUAACUCAGUGCCAGCAGCCGCGGUAAUACGGAGGAUCCGAGCGUUAUCCGGAUUUAUUGGGUGUAAAGGGAGCGUAGAUGGGUUGGUAAGUUAGUUGUGAAAGUUUGCGGCUCAAACCUAAUAUUGCAAUUGAUACUGGCAGUCUUGAGUGCAGGUGAGGUAGGCGGAAUUCGUGGUGUAGCGGUGAAAUGCUUAGAUAUCACGAAGAACUCCGAUUGCGAAGGCAACUUACUAAACUGCCACUGACAUUGAGGCUCGAAAGUGUGGGUAUCAAACAGGAUUAGAUACCCUAGUAGUC